This 389-nucleotide ribosomal RNA is filed under the name uncultured bacterium. Its description in RNAcentral is "bacterial SSU rRNA". It matches the Rfam family "Bacterial small subunit ribosomal RNA", at positions 29 to 417 of the family's 1533-position model. The record is from RNAcentral.
AUUGAACGCUGGCGGCAUGCCUUACACAUGCAAGUCGAACGGCAGCACGGGAGCAAUCCUGGUGGCGAGUGGCGAACGGGUGAGUAAUAUAUCGGAACGUGCCCGGUCGUGGGGGAUAACGUAGCGAAAGCUACGCUAAUACCGCAUACGAUCUACGGAUGAAAGCGGGGGAUCGCAAGACCUCGCGCGAUUGGAGCGGCCGAUAUCAGAUUAGGUAGUUGGUGAGGUAAAGGCUCACCAAGCCGACGAUCUGUAGCUGGUCUGAGAGGACGACCAGCCACACUGGGACUGAGACACGGCCCAGACUCCUACGGGAGGCAGCAGUGGGGGAAUUUUGGACAAUGGGGGGCAACCCUGAUCCAGCAAUGCCGCGUGAGUGAAGAAGGCCU